AGCCUAAAGAAACUGAUUUUAGGUGACCCCUGCCCAGCGACACAAGUUUAGCGGCCGCAGUACCUUGACUGUGCUAAGGUAGCAUAAUAAUUUGUCCUUUAAUUGAGGUCUUGAAUGAACGGGCCCACGAGAAAUGUGCUGUCUCCUGUAUGAAGUCUGCUGAAGUUACUUAAAAGGUGAAAAUUCCUUUGGACAGUGAAAAAAGACGAGAAGACCCUUAGAAUUUUGAUAAAAACUAUUAUUAGUGAUAGAUUAGUUUUCGUUGGGGCGACGAGGUAGCAGAUGGCUAACCUACUUAAUCUUAUUCUUGAUAUAUCGGGUUUUACUACAAAUAAUUAAAUUACCUAAGGGAUAACAGCAUAAUACUUAUUAGUGUUUGUGACCUCGAUGUUGGACUAGGGACUAAUUGGUUAGCCACCAGGAUAGAUGAUUCUGUUCGAAUCCCACACCCU
RNAcentral lists this ribosomal RNA (452 nucleotides) under Rumina decollata. Its description in RNAcentral is "partial 16S ribosomal RNA". It matches the Rfam family "Bacterial large subunit ribosomal RNA", at positions 1828 to 2596 of the family's 2925-position model. Lineage: Eukaryota; Metazoa; Mollusca; Gastropoda; Stylommatophora; Subulinidae. The record is from RNAcentral.